Molecule: ribosomal RNA, 256 nt
Filed under: uncultured prokaryote
Description: partial 16S ribosomal RNA
Rfam family: Bacterial small subunit ribosomal RNA
Source: RNAcentral
CACGUAGGGGCGAGCGUUGUCCGGAAUUACUGGGCGUAAAGGGCGCGCAGGCUGUUAUGCGAGUCUGCUGUGAAAUGUACCGGCUCAACCGGUGCCUUGCGGCGGAUGCUGCAUAGCUGGAGUACUGGAGAGGGAAGUGGAAUUCCUGGUGUAGCGGUGAAAUGCGUAGAUAUCAGGAGGAACUCCGGUGGCGAAGGCGACUUCCUGGCACAAGACUGACGCUCAUGUGCGAAAGCUAGGGUAGCGAACGGGAUUA